AUUUACCUGGGAAGUUCGCCUUUUUAUCAUAUGCGAACCGAACAAGAAAAUAUCGGAAGUCGAGGCAUAUUUGGUGUCGAAAGCUUAUCUUUGAAUAAGAAUCCCGAAAAUAUGCAGAUUAGAGACAUCCACUCUGUGAAAUCGGUGGUUUCACAAAGAAUAAUAACGGCUUCCUGGGGAAUCU
RNAcentral lists this non-coding RNA (184 nucleotides) under Acholeplasmataceae bacterium. RNAcentral's name for it is "6S RNA". It matches the Rfam family "6S / SsrS RNA". From Rfam's summary of the family: E. coli 6S RNA was the first non coding RNA to be sequenced, but its function was unknown until recently. RNAcentral also lists the same sequence under 1 other name. Lineage: Bacteria; Bacillati; Mycoplasmatota; Mollicutes; Acholeplasmatales; Acholeplasmataceae. The record is from RNAcentral.